RNAcentral lists this ribosomal RNA (613 nucleotides) under Cylisticus convexus. RNAcentral's name for it is "partial large subunit ribosomal RNA". It matches the Rfam family "Eukaryotic large subunit ribosomal RNA", at positions 657 to 911 of the family's 3401-position model. Lineage: Eukaryota; Metazoa; Arthropoda; Malacostraca; Isopoda; Cylisticidae. The record is from RNAcentral.
AAACACGGACCAAGGAGUCUAGAAUAUGCGCAAGUCAAAGGGCUGGCUAAACCCCAAGGCGAAACGAAAGUGAAAGUUUUCGAUAGGGCCGAUCCGGUUCGAGGUGCGCGAGUAGGGAGUCUUCCGCCGCUUUUUCCUCUCGGUACGCCGGUUCUCGGUUGGCCGGGGGGGAGGGUGGCGGGUCUGGUUCCUUGCUCUCCCCUCGAUUUGUCUCCGUAAUAUGAGGACGGCGCAGGCUCGGGGCUCGCACGCGACCUCCCCGCCACUAAUGCCAAACCGUUCGUUUCCGGCGUUCGCCAGAUUACGGGAAGCAGCGUCAUUUCCGAACCCCUCGUCGUCGGGGUCGCCGUGUCGUUUUCGUUUCCUCUCUCCGGAGGGGGGCGGGGCGCGCGGCGGCGUCGAACGCGCGUGCGGGCUAGGGGUGGCGUGUCGUCUUCUCCGUCAGCGCGUCGUUUUCGGGGCGUCGGUUCGCAGGCGCGGGACGAGCAGCGGGUUCUUAGAGCGCAUAUUCUAGUACCCGAAAGAUGGUGAUCUAUGCCUGGCCAGGAUGAAGCCAGAGGAAACUCUGGUGGAGGUCCGUAGCGAUUCUGACGUGCAAAUCGAUCGUCGGAGC